UCUUAUCUUGCGCACCCCCUCUGAGUCUCUGAAAUAGGAUAGAAGGAAUGAAGCGCAUGCAUCCUACUUUCUUUUUGAGAUAGUCGGAGUGUCAAGGCACCUGGUGAAGGAUUAUAGUCACACAUGUUAGGUGGGGUUCAGAUCGGCAACGAAGGCGGUGUUGCCCUGCUACCGACCAAGUUGUCUCUCCCCGGCAGUAUAACACAGUAUAACAAUAAUUAAAGCAAUUAAAGUCAAUAUCAAAAGCUCGAAUUCUUAUUAUUUCCCCAGCAGAGUCGUCAGAGAUGCCACACCCUUUUUUCGCCCGAUGGUCGAGUCGAAGGAUUUUUUCAGCUAAAGUGACGGCAUUGAAUAGGGAUUACUUUUAUUAUUUUUAGAGUCGCCACUUGGAAUUGAGUUAUGGUGUUCCAAGUCACCUUAUUGAAUCCUUAAUCAAAAGAAAAUGACUCUUUGUUGGUCUGCGAAAAUAGAAGAUUGGGUAAGGAAUUCUGUUGACCGAGGGAAAGGUGUGAGGCACCCCUCGAGUCCCGUGGUACUUAUCUUGACUUAAACUAUUUUGUUAAAAUUAUGUUAAGGCCUAAGUUCGUUCAUUUUUAUUAUAUUAAAACUUGUAUAUUCUUUUAUAUUAAAUAAAUUAAUGAAAAUUUAAAAAAAAAAUUGCAAGAAAAAUAUUUGCCAAAGUUUAUUUUUACAUUCUUGAAUUUUCAAAAGUCUCAAAAAGAUGCGUAUGUCGCAUUCUUAAUUGAGAAGAACAUUUUAAACAUGCCUAAAAAAAAUACUUCGCAUUAAAGACAUUGAUUUGUUAGGUAUAAAUUUAUAACAAUUUUAUCUAUGUGAGACAUUACUUAAUCUAAACAAUGAACUUAAACAAUAUUUAAUUAAAGUAGUCAAUUAGUUUAACAAAUAAUUAAGUUUUAUAAUGAUAAUGAAAAUAAAAUAAAAAAUAAAAAAAUAUUAAUAAUAAUAAUAAUAAUAAAAAUAAUAAAAUAAUAAUAUUGUAAAUAUAUAAAAUUAACUUUUUUUAUUCAAAUAAUUUUAAAUUAAAUUUAAAUAAUCAUUAAAUAAAUUCUUAUCUUUCAACAAGCAUCAUAUAAACUACAAAUAUAUAGAUCGUACACGAGACCCAUUUUUGGUUCAAUAUAACUACGCUAGUGAUUUCUUAAUUAACAAUCUCUUAAUUUACAAUCUCUUAGCAAAUUGUCUAAAAUCCUCCAAAGCUUAAGUCAUGCAAUUACAUUAAUAAACAGUAACCAAUGUGCAGAAAAAAAAAAUAAAAUGGGUGGAUGCCAUGGAAAGUAGAAAAAAAAGUAGAUCUGUCCAUUUAUUUCUUUUCUCUUGUUUUCUUUAUAAUGGAAAUUGGAGAACAACUGUUACACUUUUAUCUUCUUCUUCUUCUUUUUUUUUUUUUUUUUUUUUUUUUUUAUGAAGGUAUGCACAAACAAUAUAAUAUCAAGACAAAGUAAUAGCAUUCACUUAAUCUCAUUUUUUUUGGAAAUAAUUUGACAAUUAUAUACCAAUCCAAGAAAAAUACAAACACAUCUAUGAUUCUAACUCCAUAUCUAUGUAUAAAUAUAAACAAUUCGAUAACUUAAUCAUAUAACAUGUAAUGAUAGAAAAUUCACACAAUUAAUUUACUACACAUAUUAAAUAAAGUAGGAAACCAUUUGAAUAUUUUUAUACAUGCUUUUCCAUAGUAAAAUUUAUAAAGAAAAUGGUACAAGAUUGAAGAACCUGUAAUGAAUUAAAUUCAAUAAUGCCGCAAGAAGCCUUCACCGGAAACUUCAAAUGGAACCCGAAUUCACUUACACCCUUUUCUCUCUUUUGACUGAUAAUUUUCUCUGACUGACUGAUAAUUUUCUCUGACUGACUUUUUUUAUCUGUUUUUCGCUGCUUUCUAAUGUUUCUGAAAAAGUGUCUGAUGAUUUUUUUUUCUGUGUCUGUGUAGGAAUAAUGAAUGUACGUCUGUCUCUCUAAGGGAUGGGAGUCCUUUUUGUAGAGGAAUUUUUUUUUUUGGUGGUGGGGGGAGAAAUGGGGGGAGUAGCUAUAUAUUAGGAUAGGAUAGAAAUUUUGAAUUUUGAAAAUAUAUUAUUAUUAUUAUUAUUAUUAUUAUUAUUAUUAUUAUUAUUAUUAUUAUUAUUAUUAUUAUUAUUAUAUAAUACUAAUAAUAGAUUAUUAUUAUUAUUAUUAUUAUUAUAUAAUACUAAUAAUAGAAGACAAUAAUAAUAAUAAAUAAAAAUAGUAAAUCAAUAAAAUAAAUAUUAAAAUAAUAAUAAUAAUAAAUAUAAUAUUAAUUAAUUAAUUUUUAUAUUUUUUUAAAUUUUUUUUAUUAAUUUAAAAAUUUGAAUAAAAUAAAAUAAAAUAUUUAGUUACAGAGUCGCCAUUUAAAAUUUAGUUAUGGUGUUCUAAGUCACCUUUUUGAAUCCCUAAUCAAAAGAAAAUGACUCUUUCUGUUGGUCUGCGAAAACAGAAGAACGGGUAAGGAAUUCUAUUGACCGAGGGAAAGUUAUGAGGCACCCCUCGAGUCCCGUGGUUCAAGCACGGUCGCUUUUAAUAACUUAUACUAACUAAAACUAUUUUGGAUAAAUUGUGUUAAGAUCUAAAAAUCGCUCAUUUUUGUUAUAUUAAAAACUUAUUUAAAACUCUUGUAUUAAAUAAAUCGGUGAAAAUUAAUUUUAGAAAAAUAUUUCCUAAGGUGUAUUUAUACAUCCUUGUAUCUUUAAAUGUCUAGAACGUAUGCCGCAUUCUUAAUUGAGACAAAUUUUUAAAUAAAUAAAAAUAUUUUAAACGCUUCUAAAAUUUGUCUAACAUUAAAAACUUUAAUUACUCAAAAUGUUAUUUAAUUUUAAAAGUAAACUUAAACAAAAUUCAUUUAAAAAAAUGAUUAAUUAAUCUUAACAAAUAAUUAUUAAACCUUAUUAAUGAUAAUGAAAUAAAACAAACAAAAUAAAAAUAAAAAAAAAAAUAAUAAUAAUAAUAAAAUAAUAUAAAUACAUAAAGGUAAUCAUAUUAAUUCUAACUUUAAUUAUAAACCCCAAAUUUCAUUCUUCAAUUAAUGCCCCAAAAAAUCACUUAAAAGAAGCCUUUUCUUGAAUAAGUACAGAUAAACACCAAACUAAAAAAAUCAAUGUUAUUAGCGACUGUUUUUCACUGGCCAAGGUUGGCCAGAGUUCAUGGACGAAAAGGAGUAUUUGCCGGAGGAUCACACGUGGCUGGCGGCGGCGUGGGCUGACGGGAAAGGAGGGAAAAGAGUGAUAUGAUUUUCCGGCUAGUGGCGGCGACAGAAAAGGGAAAGGGAGCGGAUGGCGCCGGCCAGAUCUGGUGAUGCCGAAGCGUCUAGUGGUAUCGCCGGGGAUUAUGGGUCGUCAGUUGGAGGUAUUUUACUGGCCAAUGAUGGCUGGCAUAAGCGGGAUGGGGCGGCAACCAUGGGGGUUCGUCGGUGGUUUAUGGUUCCGUCCAGAUCUCGUGAAAAAGAAGUGAGGUGACGGAGGCAUUAAGCUUCGCCCACGGGUUGGUGACGGACGACGACUACAGCGGAUCGUAACCUUGAGGGGGAUUUCGACGAUGUGGGAAAAUGGGGGAGGGAGAAGAUGACAACGUUGCCGUCUCACCGAUGGAAGGCGGAACAGAGUGAUCGUAACGACUCCGGCAAGAACCAACCAGAGUCAACUCGAAAAUGAAUCAGUUUUUGGUGAUUUUUUUUCUUAUUUCUGAUCUGAUUUUGUCUACUAUGUAUAUGAAUUUGAAUCUAUGUAUUAACAGAUGAAUAUAUAUGCAUAUAACAGUGUAUAGAAUGAUAACAGUGUCUAUUUUCUGUUUUCUGCUAUUUUCUUUUCGUUUAAUUUAAAUCAUAUAGUAUCAACGUACAGUGUUUUCAAUCACAUAACACAUAGUAAUAAAGAUUCACUAAAUCAAUUAACCAUCCAUAAUGCAUGAAAUCACUUAAUAUUUUCAUUCAUACUUUUCAUCUGUAAACUUUAUAACAUAAGAUGAUUCAAGUUCGAAUAAGAACCUGUGAUGAUUCAAACGGCAUAAGAAGCAAGAAGUAAUUAUCACCGGAAAUCUCGAACGAAAAUUCUAAAACUUCUAACUUUCUUUCUUUGUUUUACUCUCUCCUCUUGAUCUCUUUUUUACUCUGUAUUUUUUUCUCUGCUUUUUUUUUACUGUCUGAUAUAGUGUAGAAUUUACGUUAAGGGUAAAGAAGAGUCCUUAAAUACAGGACUUUGGGGGAAAGUUGGGUGGGAGCAGUUACAGACAAGGGAA
Molecule: long non-coding RNA, 4260 nt
Filed under: Capsicum annuum
Lineage: Eukaryota; Viridiplantae; Streptophyta; Magnoliopsida; Solanales; Solanaceae
Description: long non-coding RNA (CANN_LNC012220)
Source: RNAcentral